Molecule: ribosomal RNA, 429 nt
Filed under: Gemmatimonadota bacterium
Lineage: Bacteria; Pseudomonadati; Gemmatimonadota
Description: Gemmatimonadetes bacterium partial 16S ribosomal RNA
Rfam family: Bacterial small subunit ribosomal RNA
Source: RNAcentral
UAGGGAAUCUUCGGCAAUGGACGAAAGUCUGACCGAGCAACGCCGCGUGAGUGAAGAAGGUUUUCGGAUCGUAAAACUCUGUUGUUAGAGAAGAACAAGGACGUUAGUAACUGAACGUCCCCUGACGGUAUCUAACCAGAAAGCCACGGCUAACUACGUGCCAGCAGCCGCGGUAAUACGUAGGUGGCAAGCGUUGUCCGGAUUUAUUGGGCGUAAAGCGAGCGCAGGCGGUUUCUUAAGUCUGAUGUGAAAGCCCCCGGCUCAACCGGGGAGGGUCAUUGGAAACUGGGCGACUUGAGUGCAGAAGAGGAGAGUGGAAUUCCAUGUGUAGCGGUGAACUGCGUAGAUAUAUGGAGGAACACCAGUGGCGAAGGCGGCUCUCUGGUCUGUAACUGACGCUGAGGCUCGAAAGCGUGGGGAGCAAACAGG